Molecule: ribosomal RNA, 253 nt
Filed under: uncultured bacterium
Lineage: Bacteria
Description: partial 16S ribosomal RNA
Rfam family: Bacterial small subunit ribosomal RNA
Source: RNAcentral
UACAGAGGGGGCAAGCGUUGUUCGGAAUUACUGGGCGUAAAGGGCGCGUAGGCGGCCUGUUAAGUCGAACGUGAAAUCCCCAGGCUUAACCUGGGAACUGCGUCCGAUACUGGAUGGCUUGAAUCCGGGAGAGGGAUGCAGAAUUCCAGGUGUAGCGGUGAAAUGCGUAGAUAUCUGGAGGAAUACCGGUGGCGAAGGCGGCAUCCUGGACCGGCAUUGACGCUGAGGAGCGAAAGCCAGGGGAGCAAACGGG